GACGAACGCUGGCGGCGUGCUUAACACAUGCAAGUCGAACGCUGAAGCACCAGCUUGCUGGUGUGGAUGAGUGGCGAACGGGUGAGUAAUACGUGAGUAACCUGCCCUUGACUCUGGGAUAAGCCCGGGAAACUGGGUCUAAUACUGGAUGCUACACGUCACCGCAUGGUGGUGUGUGGAAAGGGUUUACUGGUCUUGGAUGGGCUCACGGCCUAUCAGCUUGUUGGUGAGGUAAUGGCUCACCAAGGCGACGACGGGUAGCCGGCCUGAGAGGGUGACCGGCCACACGGGGACUGAGACACGGCCCAGACUCCUACGGGAGGCAGCAGUGGGGAAUAUUGCACAAUGGGCGAAAGCCUGAUGCAGCGACGCCGCGUGAGGGAUGACGGCCUUCGGGUUGUGAACCUCUUUCAGCAGGGAAGAAGCCACAAGUGACGGUACCUGCAGAAGAAGCGCCGGCUAACUACGUGCCAGCAGCCGCAGUAA
Molecule: ribosomal RNA, 486 nt
Filed under: uncultured bacterium
Lineage: Bacteria
Description: partial 16S ribosomal RNA
Rfam family: Bacterial small subunit ribosomal RNA
Source: RNAcentral